GACGAACGCUGGCGGCGCGCCUAAUGCAUGCAAGUCGAGCGACGCAUUUCUGGUUCGUAAGAACCGGAUCUGACGGAGCGGCGAACGGGUGCGUAACACGUGACCAAUCUGCCCCGAAGACCGGGAUAGCCCGAGGAAACUCGGAUUAAUACCGGAUACCCUCUGAGAACCGCAUGGUUCAUUGAGGAAAACUCAGGUGCUUCGGGAUGAGGUCGCGGCCCAUCAGCUUGUUGGUGAGGUAAUGGCUCACCAAGGCAACGACGGGUAGCUGGUCUGAGAGGACGAUCAGCCACACUGGAACUGAGACACGGUCCAGACUCCUACGGGAGGCAGCAGCAGGGAAUCUUGCGCAAUGGGCGAAAGCCUGACGCAGCGACGCCGCGUGGGGGAUGAAGGCCUUCGGGUUGUAAACCCCUUUCAGGAGGGAAGAAAAUGACGGUACCUCCAGAAGAAGCCCCGGCCAACUACG
RNAcentral lists this ribosomal RNA (469 nucleotides) under uncultured Acidimicrobiales bacterium. RNAcentral describes it as "bacterial SSU rRNA". It matches the Rfam family "Bacterial small subunit ribosomal RNA", at positions 28 to 505 of the family's 1533-position model. The record is from RNAcentral. Lineage: Bacteria; Bacillati; Actinomycetota; Acidimicrobiia; Acidimicrobiales.